Molecule: microRNA, 21 nt
Filed under: Dasypus novemcinctus (nine-banded armadillo)
Lineage: Eukaryota; Metazoa; Chordata; Mammalia; Cingulata; Dasypodidae
Description: dno-miR-188-3p
Gene: dno-miR-188-3p
Source: miRBase by way of RNAcentral
CUCCCACGUGCAGGGUUUGCA